CCCGAAAGUUGACUUGGAAGAAAAGC
This 26-nucleotide non-coding RNA is filed under the name Rattus norvegicus (Norway rat). Lineage: Eukaryota; Metazoa; Chordata; Mammalia; Rodentia; Muridae. The record is from RNAcentral.